AGAGUUUGAUCCUGGCUCAGAUUGAACGCUGGCGGCAUGCCUUACACAUGCAAGUCGAACGCGAAAGGGGGGGCAACCCCCCAAGUAGAGUGGCGAACGGGUGAGUAAUACAUCGGAACGUACCCAGUAGCGGGGGAUAACCUCUCGAAAGAGAGGCUAAUACCGCAUACGACCUACGGGUGAAAGAGGGGGAUCGCAAGACCUCUCACUAUUGGAGCGGCCGAUGUCGGAUUAGCUAGUUGGCGGGGUAACGGCCCACCAAGGCGACGAUCCGUAGCUGGUCUGAGAGGACGACCAGCCACACUGGAACUGAGACACGGUCCAGACUCCUACGGGAGGCAGCAGUGGGGAAUUUUGGACAAUGGGCGCAAGCCUGAUCCAGCCAUGCCGCGUGGGUGAAGAAGGCCUUCGGGUUGUAAAGCCCUUUCGGCUGGGACGAAAAGGUCCGUGUUAACACCGCGGAUCCAUGACGGUACCAGCAGAAGAAGCACCGGCUAACUACGUGCCAGCAGCCGCGGUAAUACGUAGGGUGCAGGCGUUAAUCGGAAUUACUGGGCGUAAAGCGUGCGCAGGCGGUCUUUUAAGUCAGAUGUGAAAUCCCCGGGCUUAACCUGGGAACUGCGUUUGAAACUGGAAGGCUUGAGUGUGGCAGAGGGGGGUGGAAUUCCACGUGUAGCAGUGGAAUGCGUAGAGAUGUGGAGGAACACCGAUGGCGAAGGCAGCCCCCUGGGCUAACACUGACGCUCAUGCACGAAAGCGUGGGGAGCAAACAGGAUUAGAUACCCUGGUAGUCCACGCCCUAAACUAUGUCAACUGGUUGUCGGGGAAGCAAUUCCUUGGUAACGAAGCUAACGCGUGAAGUUGACCGCCUGGGGAGUACGGCCGCAAGGUUAAAACUCAAAGGAAUUGACGG
Molecule: ribosomal RNA, 913 nt
Filed under: uncultured bacterium
Lineage: Bacteria
Description: bacterial SSU rRNA
Rfam family: Bacterial small subunit ribosomal RNA
Source: RNAcentral